CGGUAAUUCCAGCUCCAAUAGCGUAUACUAAAGUUGUUGCAGUUAAAAAGCUCGUAGUUGGAUUUCUGCGGGGACGGAGCGGCCGGACGCAACUUGCGUCUCGAGCUAGCGCUUUCCCCGCAUCCUGCCGCGAACCGUGCUACCAUUAGCUUGGUGGCGCUGGGGAUCGGCUCGAUUACUUUGAGAAAAAUAGAGUGUUCAAAGCAGGCCACACGCCUUGAAUAAGUUAGCAUGGAAUAAUGACUAAGGACUUCAGUUCUAUUUUGCUGGUGUUCGGGACUGAAGUAAUGAUUGAUAGGGACAGUUGGGGCGGUCUGUAUUCCAAAGCGAGAGGUGAAAUUCUUAGACCUUCGGAAGACAAACAGCUGCGAAAGCGUUCCGCAAGGAUGUUCCCUUUGAUCAAGAACGAAAGUUGGGGGAUCGAAGACGAUCAGAUACCGUCGUAGUCUCAACUAUAAACUAUACCAGCUAGGGAUCGGUCAACGUUUAAUCAUUCGACUUGAUCGGCACCUUAUGAGAAAUCAAAGCAUCUGGGUUCCGGGGGGAGUAUGGUCGCAAGGCUGAAACUUAAAGGAAUUGACGGAAGGGCACCACCAGCCGUGGAGCCUGUGGCUUAAUUUGACUCAACACGGGAAAACUUACCAGGUCCAGACAUAGUAAGGAUUGACAGAUUGAUAGCUCUUUCUUGAUUCUGUGGGUGGUGGCGCAUGGCCGUUCUUAGUUGGUGGAGUGAUUUGUCUGGUUAAUUCCGUUAACGAACGAGACCCCAGCCUGCUAAAUAGCGCGGCUGAGCUUUGCUCGGUGCGAGCUUCUUAGAGGGACUAUGAUGCGCGAUAGCACAUGGAAGUUUGGGGCAAUAACAGGUCUGUGAUGCCCUUAGAUGUUCUGGGCCGCACACGGGCUACACUGGCGCCUGCAACGAGCAUAUCAGCUGGCCCGAGAGGGUCUUGGCUAAUCUUUUGAACCGGCGCCGUGCUUGGGAUUGACCAUUGCAAUUGUUGGUCAUGCAACGAGGAAUGCCUUGUAAACGCGAGUCAUCAGCUCGCAUUGAAUACGUCCCUGCCCUUUGUACACACCGCCC
Molecule: ribosomal RNA, 1081 nt
Filed under: uncultured Rhizaria
Lineage: Eukaryota
Description: SSU rRNA
Rfam family: Eukaryotic small subunit ribosomal RNA
Source: RNAcentral